RNAcentral lists this ribosomal RNA (476 nucleotides) under uncultured bacterium. RNAcentral describes it as "bacterial SSU rRNA". It matches the Rfam family "Bacterial small subunit ribosomal RNA", at positions 32 to 507 of the family's 1533-position model. The record is from RNAcentral.
AACGCUGGCGGCGUGCCUAACACAUGCAAGUCGAGCGAAGUUUAUUUAGCAGCGACUUCGGUCAAAGCUGAUUAAACUUAGCGGCGAACGGGUGAGUAACACGUAGGCAACCUGCCCAUGACACGGGGAUAGCUUCGGGAAACCGGAGGUAAUACCCGAUACCUUUACUUAUUGCAUGAUAAGUAAAGAAAGCGAAUAGCGGUCAUGGAUGGGCCUGCGUCCCAUUAGCUAGUUGGUGAGAUAACAGCCCACCAAGGCGACGAUGGGUAGCCGACCUGAGAGGGUGAUCGGCCACACUGGGACUGAGACACGGCCCAGACUCCUACGGGAGGCAGCAGUAGGGAAUUUUCCGCAAUGGGCGAAAGCCUGAUGGAGCGACGCCGCGUGAGCGAAGAAGGCCUUCGGGUUGUAAAGCUCUGUCUGGAGGGACGAAGGAAGUGACGGUACCUCCGGAGGAAGCCACGGCUAACUACGUG